RNAcentral lists this long non-coding RNA (283 nucleotides) under Hordeum vulgare. RNAcentral describes it as "long non-coding RNA (HVUL_LNC012276)". Lineage: Eukaryota; Viridiplantae; Streptophyta; Magnoliopsida; Poales; Poaceae. The record is from RNAcentral.
AGAAGAAGAAGAAGAAGAAGACUAUAAGAAGAAGAAGAAGAAGAAGAAGAAGAAGAAGAAGUAGAAGACUAGAAGAAGAAGAAGAAGAGGAAGGAGAAGAAGAAGAAGAAGAAGGAGAAGAAGAAGUAGACUAGAAUAAUAAUAAGAAGAAGAAUAAGAAGAAGAAGACUAGAAGAAGAAGAAGAAGAAGACUAGAAGAAGAAGAAGAAGAAGAAGAAGAAGAAGAAAAAGAAGAAGAAGAAGACUACAAGAGGAAGAAGAAGAAGAAGAAGAAGAAGAAGAC